This 222-nucleotide ribosomal RNA is filed under the name uncultured bacterium. RNAcentral's name for it is "partial 16S ribosomal RNA". It matches the Rfam family "Bacterial small subunit ribosomal RNA", at positions 28 to 250 of the family's 1533-position model. The record is from RNAcentral.
GACGAACGCUGGCGGCGUGCUUAACACAUGCAAGUCGAGCGGUAAGGCCCUUUCGGGGGUACGACGAGCGGCGAACGGGUGAGUAACACGUGGGUGACCUGCCCUCAGCUCUGGGAUAAGCCUGGGAAACUGGGUCUAAUACUGGAUAUGACUCCACGGUGCAUGUCGUGGGGUGGAAAGCCUUGUGCGGCUGAGGAUGGGCCCGCGGCCUAUCAGCUUGUU